Molecule: long non-coding RNA, 549 nt
Filed under: Gallus gallus (chicken)
Lineage: Eukaryota; Metazoa; Chordata; Aves; Galliformes; Phasianidae
Source: RNAcentral
GCAGCAGUCCCGUUGCACGAUGUUCCGACGGUCUGAGGCCGAAGGGCAGGAGCAGCGAGGCCGGUCUUGGGCAACGAGAGGGUGCAGGUCGGGGAGGAAGCAGCAGGUCUCAGGUAGCAGGCCCAGGGAAGUCCAUCAGCAAACGGUCCGUAGAGGAGGAUCUGAAGGCAGGAAGCUCGUGUCGUGGUGAGAGAUCAGUCUCCACGUAGAGAUCCGUCUCCCCGUUGCGGUGAGAGAUCAGUUGGCAGAGAACCCCUCAAGUCUGUCGUGGUGAGAGAUAAGCCUCUCCCGUUGCCGUGGUUGUGGUGAAGGAUCAGCUUCCACCGUUGUGGUUAUUGGACCCUCUUUUAUCCUCCAUUUUCUGCUGCCUACGUGACAUUCCUGGGUGCUUGAGCAAGAGUCCUGUGCAUACCUCCUGAGAUGGCCAUUUUCCUUGAGAUAAGUCCACACAAAAAGACCGCUUCCCGGCCAUUAGCAGCAGCUUAUCUCUCUCUCGAUGCCCCUGGCCUUGUCCAUCUGUGCUCCUUAAAGGAUUUCACAAUCCUUAGC